AUGUAUAUUAUGUAUGCGUGUGUACAUAUAUAUUUGCCUUUGGCUGUAUAUCGGAAGCCACUGUAGGAAAAGGAUUGGGUAGAUUAUCAUUCCAUUUUCGGGGAACUAAAACCAAAUCUAAAUAAGUGGCCUGCGAUAUCUAAUAUUUUCAGAAACUGUGGAAACUAGGGACGCCCGCAAGGACUUGUACAGGGUUCCCAGAGGACGGAAGCAUUUCUGGUCGGAUGGUUUAAACCGUUACUCCCACUUCUUCACAUGUAAAAGGUAGAAACUGAAAAUAUGGAAAGAUGAAGUAAUAUAAGAAGACGUGAAGAAAACCUUAGGAAAAGAGAUGGAAGACUGUACAAGAGGAAAUAGAAAAGGCAAGAUCAGAAUAUGUCUAGGAAAAAGUAAUCCCAUGAAAACCAAAGGAAAAUAAUUCCAAUAAAAGGGAUAUGAUAAAUGUAAAAUAGUUCAGAGAAGUCACUACUUACAAAGUGUUUGCCCUACCAAAGGCUAUCACUGAAAAUGGACUAAAUGCUCAUUCUCUUAUUUCUACCACAUCAUCCUUAUUCUCUUCCAGUCAACUUCAAAUACUCUCCAGAAAAAAUAAAACAAUAUUAAUUUUAAA
Molecule: long non-coding RNA, 610 nt
Organism: Pteropus alecto (black flying fox)
Lineage: Eukaryota; Metazoa; Chordata; Mammalia; Chiroptera; Pteropodidae
Exons: 2
Source: RefSeq, a predicted model, not a curated record